Long non-coding RNA from Ostrea edulis (European flat oyster), 3914 nucleotides. RefSeq lists it as uncharacterized. The record is from RefSeq and is a predicted model, not a curated record. The transcript has 2 exons. Lineage: Eukaryota; Metazoa; Mollusca; Bivalvia; Ostreida; Ostreidae.
ACACAGCUGGUGGUAUCUUUUCUUCUGUGAGAGAACUCACCAUUCUUAUUGUUUUCAGUUUCUGUUAAGUGGACAUGAUCUCUCUCUCUCUCUCUCUCUCUCUCUCUCUCUCUCUCUCUCCUUUAAAUCAAGUGGAAACAUGUGCACUGCACUAUGAAAAAAGUUUGUGGAUCUUUUGAUUGUCACCUGGUUUGAGCUUAGUUGAGAGGGUUAGUUCAUGGGAUAAGAAUUUAAAUUGCUCAUUGAUUUAUCAAGAUUGAAAUAAGUUACCAUAUUUUCUUGAGUGCUAAAUUACUGCUCUUUAGCAUAGUAUAUAAGGCUGUUCAAAUUCAUGUGGAGUCAUUUCAAUUUAAGAACUAUUGAUCUUGUUUUUUUCUGAUCAUUAAAUUGUUUGAUUGCAAGAUAUUUCAGUUUGAUAAUAAAUGUUAUAUUGUACAUUUAGAAUUUAAAAUUCUUAAUCUAAGAGAUAUCCAUUAGCAACAUAUCAAACAAAGAGCGGGUGAAUUGCGAUAUACUGGAUUAUUGUUAAUAAGUUAUUGGUCGGCAAUUUAAAAGCCUUCAUUCCGCACAAUUAUCUUCAUUGUUCUAAGCAGAUAAAAUAUAAAAUUAACAGCAUUUCUAUACAGAAAAUUAGAAUAGUCACUCCAGAGGACUUCAUUAUUGACAUGUCUUUUGAACCAUGACUAGCACUGACUUGACUAACAUGACGAAACUGACUCGUUCAAGUUUAGGAGGGAAAUUUGUAAUGGAGGGAAACAUGUAUAGUACAGUUGGUGGGGGCUCAUGGAAACCAGUGUGGCUGUGUGCAUUUCUGAAUAUUGCUGAUCUAGCAAGCAUAUAUAUAUACUUAUUGUGAUUAGUCAGUGGACUGUGAUGGGCCAGUUACCGAAUUCUGUGUGUCUACAAUGUACUCAAAGUCCAUCAAUACCCGAGUUUGGAAAUAAAUUUUGUUUUACAUGGGCAAAUCAAUUUUUUUUUUUAGAAAUUCAGUAUUCCAUAAAUGUUCUCUUAGAAUUAAUUUAUUACUAAUGUCAAGUAGCGACACUGCAUUUGAAUUUAAGAAUUAGAAGACAUUACAUACAUGUUAUGCAUCACUGAAGCUAGCCAAUAUAUACUCUGUGAUAAAUUGAUUUCAAGUUAAAAACAGACUAAAUACUUGAAAUGUACAUGAUAUAGGUACUAGUACAAAUGUACAUGAUAUAGGUACUAGUACAAAUGCGUCUUGUUCCUUUGAUAUUGUUUGAUAUAGGAAGUUGAUACGAUGAUGACAUAAGUUCGGAAGGUGUCGGACGUCAGGCAAGUAGUAACAGGACUUCCUUAAACAUCUUGUACAUCUGAAAAAGGAAGUCAUGCUGGAAAUGCUUACUUCUGCUGUUUUGAUUUAGAAAUAUAUAAUUAAAAAUUGAAAUGGAAUUUUCUUCAAAUUUUUAUAGAAAUUUUAAAGUGAACAUUGUUUGCAUUUUUUCCAAAUUUACAUAGAUUUGAUAUAGAUGUAAAUUGCACGUAAAUAUACAUUCUGGAAUUUUGUCCUCAUUUUCUUUCUGUUUUCUUUUCCUAUCUAAUAUACCUAUGAAGCAGACAAAAGUGGGUAGAUGAUUUAUUACCUAGAUUUAUUUGUCAUACCUGGAUAUAUACAGUAAAAUUUGCACAGUGGCUUUAACCACUCAUCAUAAACGGGGCAUCCCAACCAAGCAGGAUCAGGCAUGCCUGCAGUUUGGCAACAUGUCUUAAGUUCCUAUUAAUGCAUUGCCAAAUUUCAAGUCAAGAAAAAACUCACAUUACCAGGCUAUUCAUGUACUGCAGUAGUAUCUAUUGUCUUUUUCACCUUUAAAACAUUUAAUUACAAAAUCUUUUGUUUGGAGCUUUACUAAUUGUUCAAUAUUUGCACCUUCCGUAAAAUGCGACUUUUUUGCGUGACUGAAAUGGGAGCUGGUAUAAAGAAACGAGAGAAUUGUAUUCAUCUAGGCCCUUUUUAGAAUUUAUCAAGUUACUGGAAAAGGAAAAAUAAAAGUAAAUGUUGAGCUUUUCUGUUGAAUGUUCUUGGUUAUGGAAAAUUUUAUGUCGUAGUCAUAUGCUAAUGAUGGAAUUUUAAUUUGAUAGCAAAGUUUCGUCAGCGAUAUAUUUAUAACCCUUAAAAACAACAACAGGAAAACGUAGAUAAGUUGUAUGUAUAACUACAACGUCAGCAUAUGAAUCAGUCCUAUUUUCAUAGCAAGCAAUGGCACAUGAUAACACAGUACAUUGUAAUAUAGGGUUCAAAUUUUUUGGCUUCUUGACAAUUUUUGCCUGUGAUUGUGAUAAUUGCGGCUGUCUGUGCACAGGUGAGUUUUGCGACAGGUAGUUAUGUGGCUGGAUGGAUUCAAACUAAUUAAUUACAGCCUGAUUCUGCCCAGAUGACUGAUGAAUAUUUAGAUAUGACUGAUUUCUUUCAAAAUGACUAUGGAGAUUUGGAGGAUCUCGUUGACCUGACAAAGUUAGUAAGUGGUAUUACGUCCUUGCUUCUAGCCUUCUAGUCCUGUAAGUAAAUAUUUGCUAGUUCUCCGACAAUAGACGAUUCUUGAUCACAGAAUUCUUGUUAAGGAAAUGAAGUCAAAUGGAAACAUUCUUUCAUUUGUUCACAGUGAAAAAAGUUAUAUAGAUCAUGUAAAAAGGGGGAUUUAAAGGUAAGUUUUAUUUAAACUCCACGAAGAAUCUGAUUUGUGAAAAGUAAGGUUGUUAGAAUGUAAUAUAAUUUAGGUUAGGCUUGUGUGGUGGAAAAUACUUGUUCAUGCAAGUUUUUUUUAGUUAUAAUGAUAAUAGCUAGGUUUCAGGGUUUUUUGGGGGCAUUGUUUUAAUUCCCUGAAAAAGAAAAUUGUUAAUUAUUAAAACCAUGGAUACACCCAAGUGACCAUUCUUGAAAGCAUUUUAAUCAGUAUUGAAAUUGAAGGCUAAAAUAUGAAUGUAAUUAGAUAUUUAUCUAUUCAUUAAAGGUAAAACAAAAGCUUUUUAUAAUUAAAAAGAAACAAAACCUUUUUUUAUUAUUAGAAACGAGGAUCACUUAUCUUGUAAGGGAAUCUAAACUGCAAAUAUAAUCUGGAUCCCCACGAUAAAAACACCAAAGGAUAUAAAUCAUAACCAAAGGAGAUUGUCUCCAGUGAUAUAUUCUAACCGAUUUUAAAAAGACCCAUACAUGGGGCGGUGAUAGGUUUAUUCAGAAGUACUCUUAACAAUGUUUGACAUGUCACAAGACCGAGCUCAUGGGGGACAUGGCAGCAGAAUAUAGCUUUAACCUCUCCCAGAGAUCUUCCUUGAUCAUAACAAGUAGGGGCUGAUCUGGGAACAAUUGGCCUAGAACUUCAGAUCAGCAGACUGAUGCGCCUGAUUGAACAAUUGAGUUUGAAUAGGAUUGGGUAAAAACUGCUACUCUGCCAUUGAUUGAUACCACCUUGUAAUUAUUGAAGAAAGACAUAAAUAUGAUGUUUGGUUUAAAGUAAUAGAAUUUAAACAAAAAGUUUACCAAUAAUUUUUCUAUCUGAAUAAGCGAAAACUUAACACAAAUUCGCCCCUUAAAAAUUCACAAUACAUUUUACUUCUAAACAUGUAUAGACAUGCAUCUCCUGGCAAUGACCUUGUUUUAUCUUUGUACUUCUGUUCAUCAUUAUUAAAACAAAGAACAUUUCUGUAAAAGUAAAAGGAACAUACGCUUGGGUUUUUAUGUCAUAUGAUGGUACAUCACAUGGUCAACAUACUGUCCAACAGCCUUGGUGGGAUUUGAUUGAUAUACAAGGACCGGUGUACUUGUUAGGCAUUUCAUGAAUAGUCGUCGAUGAUAUACAGGAAACUAUAUAAAAAAAUAUGUGACAUGUAAAGGAUUUGACUCAGCUCCUGGUCAUGUGAGUCUGUGAUAGUUGUGUUAGUUUAAUCUGAGAGAGAGA